This 497-nucleotide ribosomal RNA is filed under the name uncultured bacterium. RNAcentral describes it as "partial 16S ribosomal RNA". It matches the Rfam family "Bacterial small subunit ribosomal RNA", at positions 28 to 507 of the family's 1533-position model. The record is from RNAcentral.
GAUGAACGCUGGCGGCGUGCCUAAUACAUGCAAGUCGAGCGAACAGAUAAGGAGCUUGCUCCUUUGACGUUAGCGGCGGACGGGUGAGUAACACGUGGGUAACCUACCUAUAAGACUGGGAUAACUUCGGGAAACCGGAGCUAAUACCGGAUAACAUUUGGAACCGCAUGGUUCUAAAGUGAAAGAUGGUUUUGCUAUCACUUAUAGAUGGACCCGCGCCGUAUUAGCUAGUUGGUAAGGUAACGGCUUACCAAGGCAACGAUACGUAGCCGACCUGAGAGGGAGUCGGGCGAAAGGGUAACGGAACCACGGCCAAGCCGAGCAGGGGAGGCGGAGGGAGGAAAGCUGCCGAAAUGGGCGAAACUCGGAAGGAGAAAGGCGGGGGGGGUGAAAAGGGUUGUGGGCUCUAAAAACUUUUUUAUAAGGGAAAAAAAAAGGUGAAAGAAAAGUAGAACGUUGGGAGGGUACCAAAAAAGAAAGCCAGGGCUAACGAGGUG